RNAcentral lists this ribosomal RNA (253 nucleotides) under uncultured Phyllobacteriaceae bacterium. RNAcentral describes it as "partial 16S ribosomal RNA". It matches the Rfam family "Bacterial small subunit ribosomal RNA", at positions 524 to 776 of the family's 1533-position model. The record is from RNAcentral. Lineage: Bacteria; Pseudomonadati; Pseudomonadota; Alphaproteobacteria; Hyphomicrobiales; Phyllobacteriaceae.
UACGGAGGGGGCUAGCGUUGUUCGGAAUUACUGGGCGUAAAGCGCGCGUAGGCGGGCUGGCCAGUUGGGGGUGAAAUCCCGAGGCUUAACCUCGGAACUGCCUUCAAUACUGUCAGCCUCGAGUCCGGGAGAGGUGAGUGGAAUUCCUAGUGUAGAGGUGAAAUUCGUAGAUAUUAGGAAGAACACCAGUGGCGAAGGCGGCUCACUGGCCCGGUACUGACGCUGAGGCGCGAAAGCGUGGGGAGCAAACAGG